Long non-coding RNA from Maniola jurtina (meadow brown), 287 nucleotides. RefSeq lists it as uncharacterized. The transcript has 2 exons. NCBI's taxonomy places the organism in Eukaryota, Metazoa, Arthropoda, Insecta, Lepidoptera, Nymphalidae. The record is from RefSeq and is a predicted model, not a curated record.
UUGCACAUGAAAAUGUUAAAAUAUCUUGAACGAUGGUACGGAACCCUUCGUAUGCGAGUCCGACUCACACUUGAACGGUUUUUAAGUCAAAUGUCACCCUCCCGCAACCCGCGCCUUACUUCACGAACCAUAUCAGUGAAACAGCAUGCCUAUAAUAAUAUAGGUAGGUAGUAUAGAGCGACUCAAACUUGAUAUUAUUGCUGUAUGGAUAUAAUGUCAAAAAUCAGGCAUCAAGAGACCUCCCAGUAUUCCACCGGAAGUAGGUAAGUAUAUUUAACAAUUUUGUA